This 445-nucleotide ribosomal RNA is filed under the name uncultured bacterium. RNAcentral describes it as "partial 16S ribosomal RNA". It matches the Rfam family "Bacterial small subunit ribosomal RNA", at positions 354 to 796 of the family's 1533-position model. The record is from RNAcentral.
GUGAGGAAUAUUGCGCAAUGGAGGCAACUCUGACGCAGCCAUGCCGCGUGCAGGAAGAAGGCGCUACGCGUUGUAAACUGCUUUUAACCGGGAAGAAACCCCAGGACGUGUCCUGGGUUGACGGUACCGGAGGAAUAAGCACCGGCUAACUUCGUGCCAGCAGCCGCGGUAAUACGAAGGGUGCAAGCGUUAUCCGGAUUCAUUGGGUUUAAAGGGUGCGUAGGCGGAGCGUUAAGUCAGUGGUGAAAUCCUGCAGCUUAACUGUAGACUUGCCAUGGAUACUGGCGCUCUUGAGUGCGCUUGAAGUGGGCGGAAUGUGCCGUGUAGCGGUGAAAUGCUUAGAUAUGGCACAGAACACCAAUUGCGAAGGCAGCUCACUAAGGCGAUACUGACGCUGAGGCACGAAAGCGUGGGGAUCGAACAGGAUUAGAAACCCGGGUAGUCC